UUUUCCCUCUUUCUUCGUGCUUAACACAUGCAAGUCGAACGGAAAGGCUCCUGCUUGCAGGGGUACUCGAGUGGCGAACGGGUGAGUAACACGUGGGUGAUCUGCCCUGCACUUCGGGAUAAGCCUGGGAAACUGGGUCUAAUACCGGAUAGGACGAUGGUUUGGAUGCCAUUGUGGAAAGUUUUUCGGUGUGGGAUGAGCUCGCGGCCUAUCAGCUUGUUGGUGGGGUAAUGGCCUACCAAGGCGUCGACGGGUAGCCGGCCUGAGAUGGUGUACGGCCACGUUGGGACUGGGCUGCGACACAGACUCCUACGGGAGGCAACAGUGGGGAAUAGUGCAUAAUGGGCUGAAGCCUGAUGCAGCGACGCCGCGUGGGGGAUGUCGGCCAUCGGGUUGUAAACUCCUUUCGCUAGGAACGAAGCGCAAGUGACGGUACCUGGAGAAGAAGCACCGGCUAACUACGUG
This 465-nucleotide ribosomal RNA is filed under the name uncultured bacterium. RNAcentral's name for it is "partial 16S ribosomal RNA". It matches the Rfam family "Bacterial small subunit ribosomal RNA", at positions 36 to 507 of the family's 1533-position model. The record is from RNAcentral.